CCGUUGCCGGCGACCGGCGCACGGGUGAGUAACACGUAUGCAACCUGCCCGUGGCAGGGGGGAUAAGCGGGGGAAACCCCGUCUAAUACCGCGUAACGCGGCCUAGGGACAUCCCAAGGCCGCCAAAGGGAGCAAUCCCGGCCACGGAUGGGCAUGCGGCGCAUUAGCUAGUCGGCGGGGUAACGGCCCACCGAGGCGACGAUGCGUAGGGGUUCUGAGAGGAAGGCCCCCCACACUGGUACUGAGACACGGACCAGACUCCUACGGGAGGCAGCAG
Molecule: ribosomal RNA, 277 nt
Filed under: uncultured bacterium
Lineage: Bacteria
Description: partial 16S ribosomal RNA
Rfam family: Bacterial small subunit ribosomal RNA
Source: RNAcentral